Molecule: ribosomal RNA, 483 nt
Filed under: uncultured bacterium
Lineage: Bacteria
Description: partial 16S ribosomal RNA
Rfam family: Bacterial small subunit ribosomal RNA
Source: RNAcentral
UUGAACGCUGGCGGAAUGCUUUACACAUGCAAGUCGAGCGGCAGCGCGGCCUUCGGGCUGGCGGCGAGCGGCGAACGGGUGAGUAAUGCAUCGGAACAUGCCCAGUCGUGGGGGAUAACACUUCGAAAGAAGUGCUAAUACCGCAUACGUCCUGAGGGGGAAAGCGGGGGAUCGCAAGACCUCGCGCGAUUGGAGUGGCCGAUGUCAGAUUAGCUAGUUGGUGGGGUAAAGGCCUACCAAGGCGACGAUCUGUAGCUGGUCUGAGAGGAUGAUCAGCCACACUGGGACUGAGACACGGCCCAGACUCCUAAGGGAGGCAGCAGUGGGGAAUUUUGGACAAUGGGGGCAACCCUGAUCCAGCCAUUCCGCGUGAGUGAAGAAGGCCUUCGGGUUGUAAAGCUCUUUCGGCAGGAACGAAACGGUGGGCUCUAACAUAGUCCGCUAAUGACGGUACCUGAAGAAGAAGCACCGGCUAACUACGUG